This 328-nucleotide ribosomal RNA is filed under the name uncultured Pseudomonadota bacterium. RNAcentral describes it as "bacterial SSU rRNA". It matches the Rfam family "Bacterial small subunit ribosomal RNA", at positions 29 to 351 of the family's 1533-position model. Lineage: Bacteria; Pseudomonadati; Pseudomonadota. The record is from RNAcentral.
AACGAACGCUGGCGGCGUGCCUAACACAUGCAAGUCGAGCGCGAAAGAGCAAUCUUAGUAGAGCGGCGCACGGGUGCGUAACACGUGGGUAAUCUGCCUCGAGGUUUGGGAUAACCAUUCGAAAGUUUGGCUAAUACCGAUUAAGCUCACGGUGACUUCGGUCGCUGAGAGAAAAGGGGCCCGAAAGGGUCUCGCCACGAGAUGAGCCCGCGGCCCAUCAGCUAGUUGGUGAGGUAACGGCUCACCAAGGCUACGACGGGUAGCUGGUCUGAGAGGACGAUCAGCCACACUGGAACUGAGACACGGUCCAGACUCCUACGGGAGGCAG